This 112-nucleotide ribosomal RNA is filed under the name Propithecus coquereli (Coquerel's sifaka). The record is from RNAcentral. Lineage: Eukaryota; Metazoa; Chordata; Mammalia; Primates; Indriidae.
CUCUACGGCCAAAACACCUUGAAUGUGCCCAAUCUCAUCUGAUCUUGGAAGCUAAGCAGGGUCAGGACUGUUUAGUACUUGGAUGGGAAUAAUGAAUAUGCUAGUGUUGAUU